CAAUAGCGUAUAUUAAAGUUGUUGCAGUUAAAAAGCUCGUAGUUGGAUUUGUGGCGUACGGUGUGUUCCGGGCACUUGUUGUCUGAGUAACCUGCUGUUGCCAUCCUUGGGUGGAACCUGUGUGGCAUUAGGUUGUCGUGCAGGGGAUGCCCAUCAUUUACUGUGAAAAAAUUAGAGUGUUCAAAGCAGGCUUAUGCCGUUGAAUAUAUUAGCAUGGAAUAAUGAGAUAGGACUUUUUUGCUAUUUUGUUGGUUUGCGCAAAGAGGUAAUGAUUAAUAGGGACAGUUGGGGGUAUUCGUAUUCCAUUGUCAGAGGUGAAAUUCUUGGAUUUUUGGAAGACGAACUACUGCGAAAACAUUUACCAAGGAUGUUUUCAUUAA
RNAcentral lists this ribosomal RNA (380 nucleotides) under uncultured eukaryote. RNAcentral describes it as "partial 18S ribosomal RNA". It matches the Rfam family "Eukaryotic small subunit ribosomal RNA", at positions 592 to 976 of the family's 1831-position model. The record is from RNAcentral.